AGUUUAUCAUGCUAAUCGACAUAUAUUCCAUUAUUGAAAUUGAAAUCUAUGGGCAUCAUGUUUUUCAUGAAAGUCAGUUGCCUCAUUACUCUGGCUGGUACAUGUCCAAGCCUUUCGUGUCACACAUUUUGAUCUGUAGUAGUAUGUUCUGCCAAACAACUCCUAAUCUGUUUUCUGAGCUUAUUUGCACUUGACCCAUCUGGUAUUAACAGGUAGAGACC
This 221-nucleotide long non-coding RNA is filed under the name Nicotiana benthamiana. Its description in RNAcentral is "long non-coding RNA (NBEN_LNC040899)". Lineage: Eukaryota; Viridiplantae; Streptophyta; Magnoliopsida; Solanales; Solanaceae. The record is from RNAcentral.